This 253-nucleotide ribosomal RNA is filed under the name uncultured bacterium. Its description in RNAcentral is "partial 16S ribosomal RNA". It matches the Rfam family "Bacterial small subunit ribosomal RNA", at positions 524 to 776 of the family's 1533-position model. The record is from RNAcentral.
UACGGGGGGGGCUAGCGUUGUUCGGAAUUACUGGGCGUAAAGGGCGCGUAGGCGGUCUGCUAAGUUGGAUGUGAAAACUCUGGGCUUAACCCAGAGCCUGCAUUCAAUACUGACAGGCUAGAGUUCUGGAGGGGAUAGCGGAAUUCCUGGUGUAGCGGUGAAAUGCGUAGAUAUCGGGAGGAACAUCAGUGGCGAAGGCGGCCCUCUGGUCCAGUACUGACACUCAAGUGCGAAAGCGUGGGGAGCAAACAGG